RNAcentral lists this microRNA (22 nucleotides) under Branchiostoma floridae (Florida lancelet). Its description in RNAcentral is "bfl-miR-252b-3p". Its record names the gene bfl-miR-252b-3p. The record is from miRBase by way of RNAcentral. RNAcentral also lists the same sequence under 1 other name. Lineage: Eukaryota; Metazoa; Chordata; Leptocardii; Amphioxiformes; Branchiostomatidae.
CCCUGCGCAGUCCUACUUACAA